GCUCCAGUAGCUCAGGGGAUAGAGCAACGCAUUCCUAACGCGUAGGCACAGGUUCGAAUCCUGUCUGGAGCA
RNAcentral lists this transfer RNA (72 nucleotides) under Patescibacteria group bacterium. RNAcentral's name for it is "tRNA-Arg". It matches the Rfam family "tRNA". From Rfam's summary of the family: Transfer RNA (tRNA) molecules are approximately 80 nucleotides in length. Their secondary structure includes four short double-helical elements and three loops (D, anti-codon, and T loops). The record is from RNAcentral.